Molecule: ribosomal RNA, 500 nt
Filed under: uncultured bacterium
Lineage: Bacteria
Description: partial 16S ribosomal RNA
Rfam family: Bacterial small subunit ribosomal RNA
Source: RNAcentral
AUUGAACGCUGGCGGAAUGCUUUACACAUGCAAGUCGAACGGCAGCACGGACUUCGGUCUGGUGGCGAGUGGCGAACGGGUGAGUAAUGUAUCGGAACGUGCCCAGUCGUGGGGGAUAACGUAGGGAAAAUUACGCUAAUACCGCAUACGAUCCAUGGAUGAAAGCGGGGGAUCGCAAGGCCUCGCGCGAUUGGAUCGGCCGAUAGCAGAUUAGGUAGUUGGUGGGGUAAAGGCCCACCAAGCCAACGAUCUGUAGCUGGUCUGAGAGGACGACCAGCCACACUGGAACUGAGACACGGUCCAGACUCCUACGGGAGGCAGCAGUGGGGAAUUUUGGACAAUGGGCGAAAGCCUGAUCCAGCCAUUCCGCGUGCAGGAUGAAGGCCCUCGGGUUGUAAACUGCUUUUGUACAGAACGAAAAGGUUUCUACUAAUACUAGGAGCUCAUGACGGUACUGUAAGAAUAAGCACCGGCUAACUACGUGCCAGCCGCCGCCGUAA